Molecule: long non-coding RNA, 1264 nt
Organism: Armigeres subalbatus
Lineage: Eukaryota; Metazoa; Arthropoda; Insecta; Diptera; Culicidae
Exons: 3
Source: RefSeq, a predicted model, not a curated record
AAAAAAUCUUGAAAUCUAAUUCGACCUGUUUAUAUUUCAAGACCAAAUUUUCAAAACGUCGUAAGUAACAUUUUAAGCAAAAUUGAGAUUUUUCCAUGUAAUGAUGCCUUUCAUGGUCCUUAAUACGCACCAUUCGAAAAAAGUUAAUACAUUUAUUGAAACUGUUCUAGACUUAAAACAUAAAAAAAGACUGAAUUAGCAAACUGCUAAAAAAUUAACAUUCGUUACAUUAGUCGUUUGUCAGUGAAAGGACUGAAGUAACACACAUAACGCUUUACGGUUUCGUCAAAAGUAAACAUAACGUCGUAAGUCGCAAAAUUUGCCGCAACUUGAUGAUUGUUUCUUAAGUCAAACUAACUGUAAAUCAGUAUAGCUAGAAAAAUGUUUAUUUUGGGCAGUUCACCGUUCAAGUAGUCAGGUGUAUUAUAAACAACGGUCAAUCCCAGCUUCUAGUUACAUGGAAAAUCAAUUCGUAAAACAAGUAUCUGCAUCCGGAUCGUUUGCGAGCAAACAACAUUUCACCCAACCAACAUUUCACGCACUGUACAACGAUGCUUCCGGUUCCAUCAUCGAGCUUGAGUUGCACCUGCUACACCACAUCAUCUUAUCAUUGAGAAGAACUUUUAUCGAUUGCCCAUCGCAAUCUACGAACCGCUUUCUCUAUAUAUCCGCGAAUACAUUCGAGUAGCAUUCUUUUGCUAAAGGAAGCGGUUACAUAACUAGAUUCCUUUUACAUAAUGAACCAAAUGGGCUGCACGAUUCAUUUAUUAAUACAGUGCCUGAACCGCUUUGCCCAACGUACAAUGAUGCAUCCAGUGAUCGCCAACAUUGGCCACUCAAAACUACUGUAACCACUGUAACCGAGUCGACUAGGUUACAAUUUGGAGAAUCCGAAUUCAACUCGAACACCCAGCGCAAUCGCCGGAAAGCAAUUGAGGAACCUGGAUAGGGGAGGACAAGGCAAAAACGCCACCCGGGGCUAGAAGAGUACCCCUCAAUUUUAUUGCUAUUAUGCCUUUUUUCUCUCUAAAAAACCCCGCACACUUUUAAGCUAUAGUUCAAAGAAAGAUUUGAAAUUGAAAAAAUAUUAUAAAAAUAAUGAAUCUGAAAUACAGAAGACUUAGCAAAAGUUGGUGAAAACUUGGAUUUUCUUAUAAAACAUCAUCAUUAAAAAUAAAGUUUUUGAAAAGUUUUUUUAAUGAAAAUCUUGAGCAACUACACAUAAAUAUCUUCAAAGAAUAUUUGAGGUCCAUUUAAAAUAUGC